GGUUAAGUGAAUAAGGGCGCACGGUGGAUGCCUUGGCACUAGGAGCCGAUGAAGGACGGGACUAACACCGAUAUGCUUUGGGGAGCUGUACGUAAGCUAUGAUCCAGAGAUUUCCGAAUGGGGGAACCCAACAUCUUUAAUAGGAUGUUACGAUUGUGUGAAUACAUAGCACAUUCGAGGUAGACGCAGAGAACUGAAACAUCUAAGUACCUGCAGGAAGAGAAAGAAAAUUCGAUUCCCUGAGUAGCGGCGAGCGAAACGGGAAAAGCCCAAACCAGCAAGCUUGCUUGUUGGGGUUGUAGGACUCCAAUAUGGUAGUUCUUUCAGAUAGUCGAAUGACUUGGAAAAGUCAGUCAAAGAGGGUAAAAACCCCGUAGACGAAAUGUGGAAGACACCUAGGAGGAUCCUGAGUACGGCGGAACACGAGAAAUUCCGUCGGAAUCCGGGAGGACCAUCUCCCAAGGCUAAAUACUCCCUAGUGACCGAUAGUGAACCAGUACCGUGAGGGAAAGGUGAAAAGCACCCCGGAAGGGGAGUGAAAUAGAACCUGAAACCGUGUGCCUACAACAAGUCAAAGCCCGUUAAUGGGUGAUGGCGUGCCUUUUGUAGAAUGAACCGGCGAGUUACGAUUGCAUGCGAGGUUAAGUUGAAGAGACGGAGCCGCAGCGAAAGCGAGUCUGAAUAGGGCGUUUGAGUAUGUAGUCGUAGACCCGAAACCAUGUGAUCUACCCAUGUCCAGGUUGAAGGUGCGGUAAAACGCACUGGAGGACCGAACCCACGUACGUUGAAAAGUGCGGGGAUGAGGUGUGGGUAGCGGAGAAAUUCCAAACGAACUUGGAGAUAGCUGGUUCUCUCCGAAAUAGCUUUAGGGCUAGCCUCGGAAUUGAGAAUGAUGGAGGUAGAGCACUGUUUGGACUAGGGGCCCAUCUCGGGUUACCGAAUUCAGAUAAACUCCGAAUGCCAUUCAUUCAUAUCCGGGAGUCAGACUGUGAGUGAUAAGAUCCAUAGUCGAAAGGGAAACAGCCCAGACCACCAGCUAAGGUCCCAAAAUAUAUGUUAAGUGGAAAAGGAUGUGGGGUUGCACAGACAACUAGGAUGUUGGCUUAGAAGCAGCCACCAUUUAAAGAGUGCGUAAUAGCUCACUAGUCGAGUGACCCUGCGCCGAAAAUGUACCGGGGCUAAACAUAUUACCGAAGCUGUGGAGUACACCUUUAGGUGUAUUGGUAGGAGAGCGUUCUAAGGGCGUUGAAGGCAGAUCGUGAGGACUGCUGGAGCGCUUAGAAGUGAGAAUGCCGGUAUGAGUAGCGAAAGACAGGUGAGAAUCCUGUCCACCGAAUGACUAAGGUUUCCUGGGGAAGGCUCGUCCGCCCAGGGUUAGUCGGGACCUAAGCCGAGGCCGACAGGCGUAGGCGAUGGAUAACAGGUUGAUAUUCCUGUACCCGUUGUUUUUGUUUGAGCAAUGGAGGGACGCAGGAGGCUAAGGAAUGCAGACGAUCGGAAAUGUCUGUCCAAGCAGUAAGUCUGAAGAGGAGU
This 1533-nucleotide ribosomal RNA is filed under the name Enterococcus faecium. RNAcentral describes it as "partial 23S ribosomal RNA". It matches the Rfam family "Bacterial large subunit ribosomal RNA", at positions 1 to 1536 of the family's 2925-position model. RNAcentral also lists the same sequence under 1 other name. Lineage: Bacteria; Bacillati; Bacillota; Bacilli; Lactobacillales; Enterococcaceae. The record is from RNAcentral.